This 72-nucleotide transfer RNA is filed under the name Candidatus Woesearchaeota archaeon. Its description in RNAcentral is "tRNA-Arg". It matches the Rfam family "tRNA". Rfam says of the family: Transfer RNA (tRNA) molecules are approximately 80 nucleotides in length. The record is from RNAcentral. Lineage: Archaea; Nanobdellati; Candidatus Woesearchaeota.
GCCCUUGUAGUCUAGUGGAUAGGAUACUACCCUGCGGAGGUGGUGACCCGAGUUCGAACCUCGGCAAGGGCG